ACAUGCCUCACAAAGAGAAAGGGAGGAGUGGUUUGGUUGUAGGAGGGAGGAGGGAAAAAAAAUUGAAAGGUAGUGAUGGGCAGUGUGGUGGUGGGGGCGCUGUUGGGAAGGGUGGAGCCACAAAAAAAUAAUAAGGAGGAGGAGAAAGUGUGUGUGUGUGUUGGGGGGGGAAGGCAGCUCUUUGUGCUUCAGGUUUGGCAGAUGAAAAGAAGGAGAGGGAAGUAAUCAAUAACCAUAAUACGUGAGAAAGUGCCUGAAACAAAGAGAGUGGACGACAAACAGCAGUGCUACACAACAAGAAGUGGUCACAGCAGAGCGGUCAGAGAUGUAAUGAUUAACAGCACACAGUUGUAGAGCAACAAUCUGACUGAUUAUUAAUGUCGCAAUUCGGGACAAUAUUUCAAUGUUCAACGGGAUAAAACCAGACAAACCAUCGUCAGCUCCGCACAGUGGCUGGUUGCCAGCCUUGUCUCUCUCAGGACGUGGGCUAAGAUUAGCUUCCCAUAUGUUCAAGUCAGGCCAAGCCGGGCUUAAAGGGCCAGUCGCGAAAAGUCUUUAUUUAUGCCUUAAUGACAUCACUCCAGCCUCCGCUGUGAUGAAACCUGACACAGCUGUGACUCUCUGUUACAUAAAACCUGGUGGAGUCUUGCAGCAGUGGGAUUUGAAUGAAGUGCACGUGCCCGGCGGGAGCAGCGGAGGUGCAAGAGCCAGUGAGGUGAGAGUUAAAGAGCUCCGGCAACAGCUGAGAGCUCCUCCCCCUCCUCUUUCCAUUCAUUUUUUAUUAACUGCGGCACCGGGCGGCUGACAAACCUCUCACGGCUUCAUCACACCAGGAGUCAGUGUAGGUUGCAGUCAUGUUGAGCGGUACAGUACAAAGUACAGAGACUCACGUUUAUUUUAAUAAAAUAGAAAGUCCCUGUAUGUUGAUGAUUGUAUGUAAACGCGUCACCUGUGGGAAAUCGUGUGGAAGCUAAUGAGGAUCUACAGCAGUUGUUUUCAGGUGAUGCAACCCUUGUACAGUAACAGAGAUCAGGUGACUCCUCAGGGACAGUUAAUGGUUAACAACGAUUACACAUAAAUGUUAUUAAUAUGCUGAGGGGGGAAAAGCUAGAGACAGACACAGUUAUCGCUGCGAUCAACUGAACUUCCUCUGUAUUACAUCACGUGUUGCCCUUUGAUACCUAAGCUCGGUACAUGAAGAGUUAAUCUCAUCAGCUUUGCUGCACGCUGUUUGACUGGGAUCUUGUGUGUGUGUGUUGCUCUGUGUUUGACUGUGUCGCCUGGCGGAGCCUCCUUCAGCCGGAGUUCUUUACAGAGAAAUCCACUCAGGACAGCAGCGGCGCUAAGACGGCAGCAGAUUCUGCCGACCCUAAUGAAGAGGAGGAGGGCAACCCAUUUACAUCAACAGUCAAGGCAAAAAAUGAUUACGGUUUAUUUUUGAUGUACUCAUUUAUUUUUGUUUGUGAGUCUGUAAAAAUGAAAUAGUGUGUUUAAA
Solea solea (common sole) is the source of this 1495-nucleotide long non-coding RNA. RefSeq lists it as uncharacterized. Lineage: Eukaryota; Metazoa; Chordata; Actinopteri; Pleuronectiformes; Soleidae. The record is from RefSeq and is a predicted model, not a curated record. The transcript is spliced from 2 exons.